CGUGUAGGCGGCUAAUUAAGUCAGGCGUGAAAUCUAUGGGCUUAACCCAUAAAUUGCGUUUGAAACUGGAUAGCUUGAGGAUCGGAGAGGGCAGUGGAAUUCCCAGUGUAGCGGUGAAAUGCGUAGAUAUUGGGAGGAACACCAGUGGCGAAGGCGACUGCCUGGACGACACCUGACGCUGAGGCGCGAAAGCUAGGGGAGCAAACGGGAUUAGAUACCCCGGUAGUCCUAGCCGUAAACGAUGGGUACUAGGUGUGGGAGGUAUCGACCCCUUCCGUGCCGCAGUUAACACAAUGAGUACCCCGCCUGGGGAGUACGGCCGCAAGGUUGAA
This 332-nucleotide ribosomal RNA is filed under the name uncultured bacterium. RNAcentral's name for it is "bacterial SSU rRNA". It matches the Rfam family "Bacterial small subunit ribosomal RNA", at positions 568 to 898 of the family's 1533-position model. The record is from RNAcentral.